CUGUCCAGGAGGAGGUGAGGGUACACCUACCCCUCAAUGCUGCCCAUGUCUGUGGCUGUCAGAGGACAUAGGGGCAGGCACAUCAAAGCCACCAGCCCAGGAGAACGGGUUCCUUUGAUUUGCCCUGCUGCUCCUCUCUGCUGGGAAGGCAGGAUGAAGGACCCCAACCCACCCCCAGCAGGGUCACUUCAGGGAUCUAUCCAGGGAGCACUCCUGGUCCUGUGGAUCUUUCAUCAUGGCUGUCAUGACAUUGGCAUUGUGUUAGUUCAUUCUGCAUUAUUAAAAUGAAAUACUCGGGCAAGGCGUGGUGGCACACACCUGUAAUCCCAGCACUUGGGAGGCUGAGGCAGGAGGAUCUCUGUGAGUUUGAGACUAGCCUGGGCUACAUAGUGAGUUCUAGGUCAGUCUCAACUACAUAGUGAGACCCUGUGUCAAACAAACAAUACUCAAGGCAAGCUGCUUUAUAAACAAAAUGGGAUCUUGUAGCACACAGUUCUGGAGGUUCAAGGGAACAGCACCAGCAUCAGCUCAGCUCAGGUGAGAACUUCAUGG
RNAcentral lists this long non-coding RNA (552 nucleotides) under Fukomys damarensis (Damara mole-rat). RNAcentral describes it as "lncRNA (ENSFDAG00000023942.1)". The record is from RNAcentral. Lineage: Eukaryota; Metazoa; Chordata; Mammalia; Rodentia; Bathyergidae.